This is a small nucleolar RNA of 130 nucleotides. Its record names the gene SNORA70. It matches the Rfam family "Small nucleolar RNA SNORA70". Rfam says of the family: snoRNA U70 seems to be exclusive to mammals and is a member of the H/ACA class of snoRNA which contain H (ANANNA) and ACA box motifs. The record is from Ensembl.
CUGUGAAGAAAGAAAAUUUCUCUUUUCUUUGUUGGGGCCCUGUGUGCAGUGGCUGCAAACAGCAGCCUGCCAGGUGAUGUCUGCAGUUUGUCGCUUGUCUGGGUUGCCCUAGGGGAUAUUGGAGACAACC